AUGAUUGUGGCGGAACGGUAGACGCGCUUAGUUUAGGUCUAAGAAUUUAUGGGUUCAAUUCCCAUCUCUCAUA
Molecule: transfer RNA, 73 nt
Filed under: Insectozyma bohioensis
Lineage: Eukaryota; Fungi; Ascomycota; Pichiomycetes; Serinales; Debaryomycetaceae
Description: Candida bohioensis tRNA-Leu
Rfam family: tRNA
About the family: Transfer RNA (tRNA) molecules are approximately 80 nucleotides in length. Their secondary structure includes four short double-helical elements and three loops (D, anti-codon, and T loops). Further hydrogen bonds mediate the characteristic L-shaped molecular structure. tRNAs have two regions of fundamental functional importance: the anti-codon, which is responsible for specific mRNA codon recognition, and the 3' end, to which the tRNAs corresponding amino acid is attached (by aminoacyl-tRNA synthetases). tRNAs cope with the degeneracy of the genetic code in two manners: having more than one tRNA (with a specific anti-codon) for a particular amino acid; and 'wobble' base-pairing, i.e. permitting non-standard base-pairing at the 3rd anti-codon position.
Source: RNAcentral